This 444-nucleotide ribosomal RNA is filed under the name uncultured bacterium. RNAcentral's name for it is "bacterial SSU rRNA". It matches the Rfam family "Bacterial small subunit ribosomal RNA", at positions 8 to 496 of the family's 1533-position model. The record is from RNAcentral.
AGAGUUUGAUCCUGGCUCAGGAUGAACGCCGGCGGCGUGCUUAACACAUGCAAGUCGAACGAGCCCUUCGGGGUUAGUGGCGGACGGGUGAGUAACGCGUGAGGAUCUGCCUUCAGGUUGGGGACAACCACUGGAAACGGUGGCUAAUACCCAAUGUGCCGAGAGGUGAAAGGCUUGCUGCCUGAAGAUGAACUCGCGUCUGAUUAGCUAGUUGGUGAGGUAAGGGCUCACCAAGGCGACGAUCAGUAGCUGGUCUAAGAGGAUGAUCAGCCACACUGGGACUGAGACACGGCCCAGACUCCUACGGGAGGCAGCAGNGGNAAAUUUUCCGCAAUAGGCGAAAGCCUGACGGAGCAACGCCGCGUGUGGGAGGACGGAACCUAGGGUUGUAAACCACUUUCUCUGGGGUGAAGCUCUGACCGGUACCAGAGGAAUAAGCCUCGA